AGAGGAGCUGGAGUGAGUUUGCUGCUGUGAGGACAAGGAAGAGUCAGGGCUUAGAGGAGCUGCCUGUGAGAAACAUUAAGGAGGGUGUGAGUCUGCUGCUGGUGCCAGAAAUGCGGUGAAAAACACAUCCACAGCAUGAAAAACUAGAGAAUCAAGGAGGUAGUGACAACAGGCCAGGCACAAGUCAAGGCAGCUUCUGGGAAAGACCACAGAGAGGAACACACAUCUCCAGUCUAAACAAGGGAGAAACCAACACUACCCAUCCUAAAUAUGAAGUGUAGAAUGGACAAACCAUAUCUGAACAUUCACCCUCUAACCAGGCACUUGGGAUGAUUAUCUUAGAUGCAGAUUGUAGACACUGGAAACAUCAGGUACUCAAAUGCUAUACUGAUUACUGCUUGCCUGAGCUGGAUAUGCAUUUCUACAUCUUGAGAGGGAAAAAAACCAUGACUGAAGAUUACUGAGGCUUCUGAGUUUCUAAGUCAAGUGAAAUGUGGGUUUGUGGCAAGCUAGGAGAAUAUAAUUAGAGGAGGCAAUAUACAGCCCUGUCAGGUGACUUGGACUCUUCUGCUAUAAAGACAUGCAUUUUUUGUAACAAUACACAACUGUCUUUGUAAUGAAAACAGAGGGGUCUCAAAACAAUUCAGAUGCGUUUCUCAAGAUAAAAAUAUCAUAUGGCUCGGUCAAUUUUUGCUGCAUGUAGGCCAUCAGGAUGUUUUCAGCUAAUAGGAAAUAAUUUUGUUUCAUGCUGUUUGUCACCUGUCCCACAAAAUCUGUCAGUCUCAGUGUGUCAUAUUUUCCGGCACCAAUUAUGUGAGGACUCCAAAGCUCAAGUGUCCAGUAUUUCCCAGAAGGAAGAAAUUUGAUGACAAAUGAAGAGAUCCAUCAUAAGUGUGUGCUGCUCACUCUCGUUCCUGCAUUAUCCUGCACUUAAACAGUGGCCUUGAACUCCUGGCAGCAUUAUGAGGCAAUGUUCAUCAGUUCUUUGCUCGGGGCAGCUCUUGUUUUGCCAACUUGAAUCACCGCAAAGUUGAGUGCCUGAAUUCUUUUUCCAGUUAAUGAAGUGAAAUCCCCACUUUCACAGCGUAAUUCAUCUCUGCUGGUUUAGACAUCUUGGCUGGUGCUUGCACUCCAACCCCAUGUUUCUAUGGAAUCUCUGGCUAAGUAAAAGUCAUCAAUAUACUUACCUGUAUGGGUAGCUUUUCUUUAGCCUUUCAUAAAGAAUAUAUACAUAUAUAUAUAUUCACAACAAAAAUUAAAGAAAUAGAGAAAUUCUUUUGCUUCAGUGAGAGAAAAAGAUCAUAAGAUCAUCUUUUCCAAUGGUGGAAGAAAAGAUGUAUGAGAAUUAGUGUGUGAGAGAAAGAUAGAAGAUAGGAAAAGUGAAUAUUUCCAAACAUAAUAGGUAGUGAACUUACUCUGGAUCUGCUUUCAUUUAAUUUAAUUGUAAUAAUUCUGCCUACUUCAAGGUAUGGGAUAAAGUCAGACAACACUGCAAAUGAACACAAACUCAUUAGGAAAUUAAUAAUCACUGUGAUAAGAGUGUUUGGAAGGCUGAAAAAUUAGGUCAACUUUAAACAUUAAAAUUUAACUUCACUAAAUUAAUUGCUUAACAUCAUACUUCUCAAUAAUGGCUAAAUCUUGCAGGAUAUUAAUCAUCACUGUUUUGUAUACAAACCUGUUAGUUCUGAACGCUUAUCCUGAAUUAGCUGUGAGUAUGUAAUAUCAAGUAGCUGAUGCUGUGUCUAAAAGAAUACACACAACAAAUGAUAGUUUUUAUCCCAGGGGCUCAUGCAUCAAGUUCCAGACCUCAUGGGUAUGAAAGCCAACAAAUGAUGUAGGACUGUUCUUUUGAAGAAGCCCAUUUGAAGCACUUUUUUGAUGAGGCUAUGGCACUGUGGUGCUGUGUUUGUAACCAUGAGAUGCACACUGAAGCUAAAUUAAGUUUCACAUUUCUUUUAGCUUCUCACCACUGAGAAAAGUACAGACAGAGUCUUUAUGUGUGAGCUUUGUUUGUGUCAAAGGCAAUGCUUGUAAUGUAUCUGAGAAUGUAAACCUUGGACAGUCCUGACCUCUAAAUUCUCUAAAUUCCAAUGAACAGUAGCUAUAGUACUAUUUUAUUUCACUAUGCAUUUAUCAGUGAAUAUCUUGUACUUUAUCCUGCUUUGAUUUUAUAGAGUUAACCGUUGAUGAAAUCAGGAUAGCACAGUGUGGGCAGUAUUGCUGAAACUUGUGUAAUGAUUAGCUUGACAAUAUAUCCUUAAAGUGAACGAAAGAAAUUUACCCCAAAAUUUUUUCGUUCUUCAUGCGUCCAUGAGAAGAUGAAGAAAUAAGUAAAUAAUUAUUCUGUGAAAUGAAGCUUCAAAUUAGUUCUAUACUUUCUCUCUAUAUUUUCUGACUGGGCUCUGAAACCCUUUCUUGAAGCUCAGGGAGAGUUCUAACUUUGGGUGCUAAAACUUUGGAUAGUCUAGCUUAAGCAGUUUCCCUCUUAGUCUAAAUAUAGACUCCCUUUAGAGAGAGAGGCUAGGGUGUGAUUGAAAGCAGAAAUAUAAUUUUGAGUGCUCUGAGGCUGCAUACAGAAGUACACCUGUCUUGU
Zonotrichia leucophrys gambelii is the source of this 2593-nucleotide long non-coding RNA. RefSeq lists it as uncharacterized. Lineage: Eukaryota; Metazoa; Chordata; Aves; Passeriformes; Passerellidae. The transcript is spliced from 4 exons. The record is from RefSeq and is a predicted model, not a curated record.